GAAGAUAAAAAACAAUUCUUUGGGCCAUCAUUCCAUUGGGCGGACCAAGGAAUUGUAGUGGUCGGAGGAGCAACGUCGAACUAUUCUCGCCGAACCGCUAACGUUCACCGAAACCCUAGCAAACAAAACCCACCCCUCAUUAGUUCGUCAGCUAAGGCGCUUCAGAUCAAUCUCGACAUCUCAGCCUGUAAAAUGUAUGGAGCUGAAGCAGUUACCGACGAUUCAGAUCGAACCGCUUUCAGAAAAGCAGAGAAGAAGUACAAGCUCUAUUAUGAUCAAAACCCUAAAUCUUCCAAAAAGAAGAAGGAACCCAGAGCAGUUGAUUUGUCAGAGGUUAUUGAUUUCAAGUCCAUUCUCGACUCAUUCAACCGCAAUGGUGAACUCCCUCCCGGAGUUUCCAUGCUUUCGUGUGAUUUUGAUCAACCCAUCUUUUCCUUGGAGAGUCGCCCAGGGUUUUAUUUUCUUCCAGGGGCAAUCAGUGUUGAGGAACAAUCCCACUGGAUUAGGGAGAGCUUAACAAGUUUCCCACAGCCUCCUAAUAGAACAAACCAUAAUGCAAUUUAUGGGCCUGUAUGUGAUUUAUUUCCUGCUGCUGGAGAAGGAAAAAUUUUAGUUGAAGAGGGUUGUCCCAGCGCAGAUAGGGUUUCUGAGUCUAAUUCUUUGGAUAACAGUGUAGAAGGUCCUAGAUGGAAAUUUUAUGAGGAAUCUGUUGCAUCAGCAAGAGCAAACACAUCGAAAUCAAUACCAGCAUCUCUUUUGCUGCGGAAGUUACGGUGGAGUACCCUGGGCCUACAAUUUGACUGGUCUAAGCGGAAUUAUGAUAUUUAUCUUCCUCACAGCAAGAUCCCUCAAGCACUUUGUCAACUGGCCCAAAGAAUGGCAAUUCCUGCAAUGCCGGUUGGGGAAAACUUCCUGCCAGAAGCUGCUAUAGUGAAUUACUUUGGCUUAGGUGAUACACUCGGGGGUCACCUUGAUGACAUGGAAGCCGAUUGGAGUAAACCUAUUGUGAGCAUGAGUUUGGGCUGCAAAGCUAUUUUCCUUCUUGGAGGGAAGUCUAGACAGGUUCUUCCCCUGGCAAUGUUCCUUCGGAGUGGUGAUGUUGUAUUAAUGGCUGGAGAAGCAAGGGAAUGUUUUCACGUGGUGGUUGAUCGAAAAAUUCACAUGGAUUCAAAAUAAAUGGGUCAUCCCACUAUCUGGCACAUUCAUUCUCAAGUGCAGAAAGUGAUUAUAAAAAAAAAAAGACCACAAAUAAAAAAUUACAACGAUUGUCUUGUGAAUGAAGUAUGAGGAUUGAGUUCGACACUUGAGCCCACCAAUGUUGAGCCGGAAACGGAUUUUUGGAGGUCCUUUAACCCUUAACACUCGGUCGGAGAGUACGUAUUCAAAUUUGGGGAUGAAGGGGGUGACGAGGAUGAGGAGGCUUGUGACGAGGAGGAGCCUAUACAUGGCCAUGGAGAUGAGCAGAGAAGGGAGGAGGAGGUUAUACAUAAAGAGACAGAUAAAGAAGGUAGACAGGAGACAUGACUCCUUGACAGUCCACAACAUGGACCAAAUGAGCACGGGAUCACCAAGAUGCUAGUUCAAACGUUGGAGAUGUUGAGGAGGGUAGACAAGGAAAUAAGUCUAAUGAGGACAGAAAUGGUUGAAAUGAGGACACAUUUUGACCGAGAAAUGGGUCAAAUAAGGACACAUUUUGACAUAGAAAUAGGUCAAAUGAGUGCCCAAUUAUUGCAACUAGAGAGGGCGCAAUGCAAUCUGCAUAUUGACUAGAGAUGUCAAAAUGGGCCCGGCCCGAGAUCGGGCUAGGGCCAGCAUUUUGCUGGCCCAUUUAAGGCCGGGCCGAUUUGGCCCGGCGGGCCAAAUGGUGGCGGGCCAGGCUGGCCCGCUAAUCGGCCACAAACCCCCUCCCUCAGCCUCGCCUCUCGCCCUCGCCCUCGCCCUUGCCUGCGCCCCUCACUCGCCCUCGUCUCGCCCGGGCCCCUCGCUCUCGCCCUCGCCCUCGCCCCUCGCCCUCGCCGUCGCUCGCGCCCCUCACUCUCGCCCUCGCCCUCGCCCUCGCCCUCGUCCUCACUCGCGCCCCUCGCUCGCCCUCUGUCUCGCCCUCGCCCUCGCCCUCGCCCUCUGUCUCGCCCGCGCCCGCGCCCCUCGCUCUCGCCCUCGCCCCUCAGUCGCCCUCGCUCACCCUCUGUCGCCCGCGCCCCUCGCUCUCAGUCUUGCCCCUCGCCCUCUCUCGCUCACGCUGCCUGCCUCUGGGCCAAAAAUGGUAUAAAAAAAAAAAAAAAUUUGGGCGGGCCCGUGUAGGGCCGGGCUAGGGCUAGCAAUCUGUUGGCUCGUUUUUAAGCGGGCCGAUUUGGCCUGGCCCGGCCUGUUUGCCAUCUCUAAUAUUGACCAUUCCCCAGUUCACAUCGAUGAUGGGGAUGAGCAGCACCAAUGUGGUGAUCAGAUAUAUGCUAGUCAUCUCGAUGACGAAGACGAGGCAUCUACAUCUGUAGUAGGUUCUAAAUUUAUAAGUUUACAUAUUAGAAUCUGAAGUACAAUAUUGUAAUAGUUAGUUUAUAUACAGUUGCAGGAAAAGGACAUGGUUAGGUCGGCAAGCGACCUGUGUGAGACAAAAAAAAAAAUCGCAAUUUUGUAAGACACCUUUCACUUAUCCUAUCGGACCAAAGAAGAGAAAGAUGGAUGUCGCGGUGGAGGGGUCGAACCUAGUGCCACAAGUGGGGUAGGAUAAUCUUAACCCCCUAAGGGUUACACUGAGUUCAUAGCCUCCAAAGAAAACAUUUUGUAAGUAAUUAGUACCAUAUAGAAUUACAUUAACAAUACAUUCUCACAUUUACAAAUUCUAAUUUUUGGUUAUUGUAGUCGUGAUACCGGGUACAUUGAAUAUCUAUCCUCGGCUGACUUCCGGUGCAUAGAGGACAUGAGCGAAUGGUUGGACGGGCGUCACAUUGAUAGUUAUAUGUGUUGCCUCAUCCAACCAUUCACUCAUGUCCUCUGUGUACCGGAAGUCAAUCGGGGAUAGAUAUUCAAGGUACUCGGUGUCACGACUACAAUAACCAAGAAUUAUAAUUUGUAAAUGUAAGAACGUAUUGUUAAUUUAAUUCUAUAUGGUGCUAGUUAUUUACAAAAUGUUUUCUUUGGAGGCGAUGAACUCAGUGUCACCCUCAAGGGGGUUAAGAUUAUUGUACCCCACUUGUGGCACUGGGUCCGACCCCUCUACCGCGACAUUCAUCUUUCUCUUUUUUGGUCGGAUAGGAUCAGUAAAAGGUGUCUUAUAAAAUUGCGAUUUUUUUUUGGCUCGCACAGGUCACUUGCCAACCUAACCACAUCCUUUUCCUGCAACUGUACAUAAACUAACUAUUACAAUAUUGUACUUCAGAUUCUGAUAUGUAAACGUAUAAAUUUUGAACUUACUACAGAUGUAGAUCCUCCUCAUCGUGAUGAUUAGGAUAUAUCUGAUCACCACCUUGGUGCUGCUUAUCGCCAUCAUCGAUGUGAACUGGGGAAUGGUCAAUAUGCGGACUACGUUGCGCCCUCUCUAGUUGCAGCAAUUGGGCACUCAUUUGACCUAUUUCUAUAUCCUUAUUUGACCUAUUUUUCGGUCAAAAUGUGUCCUCAUUUCAACCAUUUCUGUCCUCAUUUGACUUAUUUCCUCGUCUAUCGUCUUCAACAUCUCCAACGUUUAGCAUCUUGGUAAUUUGCAAAAGGCGAACACACAAAUUUUUAAACAUUAAAAAUAAUUGCAAAAAAAAAUAAAAAUCAUUAUUAUAAUAAUAGUAAUCAUAUCCCGUGCUUGGUCAAGGAGUCUUGUCUCCUGCCUAUCUUCUUUAUCUGUCUCUUUAUGUACAACCUCCUCCUUCCUUCUCUGCUCAUCUCCAUGGCCAUGUAUAGGCUCCUCGUCACCACCCUCCUCAUCCUCGUCACCCCCAAAUUUGAAUACGUACUCUCUGACUGAGUGCUGAGGGUUAAAGGACCUCCAAAAAUCCGUUUCCCGCUCAGCAUUGGUGGGCUCAAGUGUUGGACUCAAUCCUCAUACCUACAACAUAGUAUUAUUUAGAUAGAUAUUACCUAAAACAAAAAUAAAUAAAAUUUAGGUUAAGUCGCACACUUACUUCAUUCGUGAGACAAUCGUUGUAAUUUUUUAUUUGUGGCCUUUUUUUUUAUAAUCACUUUUUGCACUUGGGAAUGAAUGCACUCGAUAGUGGGAUGACCCAUUUAUUUUGAAUCCAUGUGAAUUUUUCGAUCAACCACCACUAUAGAGAAGAGAGUAAAAAAAAUUUAUAAUAGAAAACAAAACAAAUAUUUAGUUAGUAUAGACAAAUCAUAUACAAUAUUAUAAUAUAAAACAAUACGAAGAGAGUAAUUUGUACUUGAAAUGUCCACACAAAACCAUAAAUGUUUACUUUUUUCCCAACUCCACCACUCAACUUGUCCUCGCUCGUGGCCAUUCGAAUGUAAUGUUGACUCUUACUGUACACGUAUGUCCCCCAAGGGAAGGUCUCAAAUGCAUCUAAAUCCUCAGUCAUAGUCCACAAAAAAUCAUCCACGCGUGCACGCUCAUCUAGGCCCAACAAUAACAAGUUAACCAUAACAACGUAAACCAAUCUCAGGACAUCAUCUGAAACUGGGUCCUCUUUGUUAUUAAGUAGGGUUUUGAUGUCGUCUCUAGACACUCCUUUCUGGUGUUGUGGAAAUAGUCGCGCAUGUAAAUUAUUCAGCGCACUAGGACUCAUUUCAAGGAUUUCUUUAUCAAUUGCCCCAAAUCGAAGUCCGAUAAUAAGUAUGAACUCCUGCUUCCCGUACCUAUAUGUCAUGCCACCGAUCUCGAACCACAUUUCAUCGUGGCGGGCACCCAGGAAUGUCACCUCCCUAACCAGAACAUUAUAUAUCAAUUGCGGUGCAGUCAAAUGGAGUGCUGAAGGGGUUUUUAAGAAAUGUCCUAAUGGGCCCUCUAGGAAUCUAUCCAAUAGCUCAUAUCGGUUUAGAGCAAUCCUCAUUGUCUCAAGGUGUUUGAUCCUGCAAUGAGUAGUAACCCGUGUUCCAGACGGUAUUACUCGGUGUGCCCAGAAUCUUCACAGACGAGGAAAAUGCUGAAAUUAGCCCUCUGGAGCGACACUUGUCAGACCAAAAUGAUCUUGCCUUGCUGGAAUACAUUAGAACAUCAAGAAUCAAUAUCAAUAUCAGACAAGUCUUUUAGCUG
Diospyros lotus (date-plum) is the source of this 5197-nucleotide RNA transcript. It is a transcript of the gene named alpha-ketoglutarate-dependent dioxygenase alkB, with no coding region annotated. The transcript has 10 exons. The record is from RefSeq and is a predicted model, not a curated record. NCBI's taxonomy places the organism in Eukaryota, Viridiplantae, Streptophyta, Magnoliopsida, Ericales, Ebenaceae.